AUGAACGCUGGCGGCGUGCCUAAUACAUGCAAGUCGAGCGAACAGACGAGGAGCUUGCUCCUCUGACGUUAGCGGCGGACGGGUGAGUAACACGUGGAUAACCUACCUAUAAGACUGGGAUAACUUCGGGAAACCGGAGCUAAUACCGGAUAAUAUAUUGAACCGCAUGGUUCAAUAGUGAAAGACGGUUUUGCUGUCACUCAUAGAUGGAUCCGCGCCGCAUUAGCUAGUUGGUAAGGUAACGGCUUACCAAGGCAACGAUGCGUAGCCGACCUGAGAGGGUGGUCGGCCACACUGGAACUGAGACACGGUCCAGACUCCUACGGGAGGCAGCAGUAGGGAAUCUUCCGCAAUGGGCGAAAGCUUGACGGAGCAACGCCGCGUGAGUGAUGAAGGUCUUCGGAUCGUAAAACUCUGUUAUUAGGGAAGAACAAAUGUGUAAGUAACUAUGCACGUCUUGACGGUACCUAAUCAGAAAGCCACGGCUAACUACGUG
This 496-nucleotide ribosomal RNA is filed under the name uncultured bacterium. RNAcentral's name for it is "partial 16S ribosomal RNA". It matches the Rfam family "Bacterial small subunit ribosomal RNA", at positions 29 to 507 of the family's 1533-position model. The record is from RNAcentral.